This is a small nucleolar RNA of Dreissena polymorpha, 87 nucleotides long. RefSeq annotates it as small nucleolar RNA SNORD116. The transcript has a single exon. The record is from RefSeq and is a predicted model, not a curated record. Lineage: Eukaryota; Metazoa; Mollusca; Bivalvia; Myida; Dreissenidae.
AGGCUUAUGUUGAGUUUGACAAAAACAUUACAUAGAUUCUUGAAUAUUAUAACUGAAAAAAUAUUCUUUAUUAUUAAACUCAAGCCU